CUAAUGUACAAAAGAUAACUAUUCAAAAGCUGUCAAAAUAAAAUGGUGAAUUGAGUUUAAACCAGAAAAGAUAUAAACGUAAUCUUUGGGAUUCAACUUGUAAGGAUGUUCCAAGAACCACUUAGUUGGAGAAGGAAAACUGUGCCGUUCAUUAACAAGUCCUGUGCUUUAUAAUAUAUUAAAAAAUGGAAGGACGUGAAGAAAACAGGUUUGUAAAUGAUGUUGUACAUCAUGCAGAUAGCUCAGAAGAAGAAGUAAGUUUUUUUUUUAAUUACAAAAGUAAAUAUAUAAUAUAAUAUUUGUUGCUGCCUUGUUCUAUAUAAAUGUUUCUAACAUGCAGGUAACAUUUAUAUAUGUAUUAGUUUGAAUAAAUCAUUUUAAUAAAGUUACAUUAUAGGCAGGAAUGUUUGACUGGAAAUAUAAACGAUGUUGUACAUAAUGCAGAUAGCUUAGGCAAAAAAGAGAUUGGUGAAAUGGAGAAUGAGACUAACUAGGGUGAAAAAAAAUGAAUAUUAAUAUGUGAAUGGUACUUUGUUUAACAUCUACCUGUUUCUACAGAUACAGUACAGACGCAUUUAUAAAUGGGCUUGAUGUUUUUUUGAAUUAAAUAUGUUGUAUUGA
Molecule: non-coding RNA, 621 nt
Organism: Hydra vulgaris (swiftwater hydra)
Lineage: Eukaryota; Metazoa; Cnidaria; Hydrozoa; Anthoathecata; Hydridae
Source: RefSeq, a predicted model, not a curated record